GAUGAACGCUAGCUACAGGCUUAACACAUGCAAGUCGAGGGGUAACGAGAGGAAAGCUUGCUUUCCUUGUCGACGACCGGCGCACGGGUGAGUAACGCGUAUCCAACCUGCCCCCAACUAGGGAAUAACCUUGCGAAAGUAAGACUAAUACCCUAUAAUUUCCUCAGAUGUCAUCUGACGAGGAAUAAAGAUUUAUCGGUUGUGGAUGGGGAUGCGUCUGAUUAGCUUGUUGGCGGGGUAGCGGCCCACCAAGGCAACGAUCAGUAGGGGUUCUGAGAGGAAGCACCCCGACAUUGGAACUGAGAGACGGUCCAAACUCCUACGGGAGGCAGCAGUGAGGAAUAUUGGUCAAUGGACGGAAGCCUGAACCAGCCAAGUAGCGUGUAGGAUGACGGCCCUAUGGGUUGUAAACUGCUUUUAUACAGGAAUAAAGUUAGCCACGUGUGGUUAUUUGUAGGUACUGUAUGAAUAAGGACCGGCUAAUUCCGUGCCAGCCGCCGCCGUAA
This 506-nucleotide ribosomal RNA is filed under the name uncultured bacterium. RNAcentral describes it as "partial 16S ribosomal RNA". It matches the Rfam family "Bacterial small subunit ribosomal RNA", at positions 28 to 523 of the family's 1533-position model. The record is from RNAcentral.